This is a long non-coding RNA of Bombyx mandarina (wild silkworm), 1709 nucleotides long. RefSeq lists it as uncharacterized. The record is from RefSeq and is a predicted model, not a curated record. Lineage: Eukaryota; Metazoa; Arthropoda; Insecta; Lepidoptera; Bombycidae.
UAUUUUCUUAUAUUAAUGAAGUGCCCAAUUGUCUUAGUUGCUACUAAUGUGGCCAACAGGAGAGGUUAGUCACCUGUGCACUUUUGAUUUCAUACGGAUCUGAUUGCACCGGCAUCUGUUGAAUUUCCCAUCCGUUAGAAGCUACAAUCGCGUGGUGAUGUUUUUAUUUGGCGCGUACUUACUCAAGCGUCAUCGGAGAGUAAAAAAUCUAGCUCAUUGAAAGUUUCAGAAAAAAAAGCUGACGUUAUGAAACUUUAUAAAUGAAAUAUAUUGACGUAGGCAAUUUUUUUUAUUUCUUAUUUGAUGUUAAAUGUUGACAAUUGCUAUUGGUUUGAAAUUCUUGAAAUUUAAAUAAACAAUUCUGUAACUAACUAGAUGCAAUUUGAUUUGAUAGUGGUCACGUUUAAUUAUAGUCAUGAUGAGCGUCGGUACCAGUAACUGUACGCGUGGCUGUUGACACGUACCUACAUUGGAUCCGUCGGCUUCGUUGUAAAAUCGGCGAAUAUCUAUUCUGUAACAAGCUAACAGCUAUCCGUUUGGCUUGGUACACUACGUUUAGUUUGAUAGAAGCGACGACAAAGUUGCUCAUGGUACAUGUCCAAUUUUGUCCACGUCCUUGUCCAAUUUCAAUUGUUAGGAUUGUUUGAGGCAAAUGCUUGGAGUCUGCUGUCUAACAGCUCUAAAUAAGCAGAGCCGUGAGAGUGUCUUAUUUUAACUAAAAACGUAAGAUUCUGUUUAAUUUACACAGUUUAGAUAAAAAUUACUGAGUUACUCGUUUAUUGCAUGAACGAUAUUGUUGCUACAAAGUAUUCGCGAUGAAAGAGGCAUCUUGAUCUAUUUUUGACAUACUCGUAGUCCAAGAAGUAGCUAUCGGUACUGCAUGUUUAUGUGAAGGAUAGGUUGAGUCAGAAGGUCUCGUUGCGGUAAAGUGAGAGUGGCACAGCAGCAGCACGGCAUCGCGUUGAGGGCGAGCGCGGUCGAUGAGCUCGAUGCAGAGGGCAGCACGGUUUCGCUGCGGGGGGCUCCUCUAUUCCCCCGCAUCCUUUUCAUCGCCCCGUCUGCUUGCGCACUCUGUAGAAUCGCGCCGCGCGUUCACUAAUGCGUCAUGCCGCCUUCGAAGCUGACGCGCCGCUUUUUACUGCGGCGCAAUACUUCGCGCGCGCCAUGUGAACUUCUGUGUUGACUUAAAAACCAAACGCACACUUAAUUGUCUUUCGCAAAGCGACUUCCUGGAAACUUUGAUUAACAUUCAGUAUGAGUAAAGUGACUGGUGCGUUCAACAAGAGGCUGGAGACACUGCAUCAAGGUGAAAACACGUGCUCGCGUCUUGUCCCGAAACAAUGGAGAUAUGACGGAUCAAGUCUUCGUAUUGAAAGUUCAGAGAAACGAAACUAGAACGGCAUUUCUGGAAUAAUGCAUAUCGUGGCACGAUAGCAUUUUCACAGUCAUGGACGAAGCCUGACCAAAAACAGAAUCCACGUGGUGGAACCGAAGUGUGACUGCUUCAAACCAGCGCACUCUCUUCUCUCUUUCUCUCUCCGCUGCUGUACGUCACACCUAAGGAAAAUAACUUGAUAGUCUACUUCUUUGGAUGAACGUGAGAUUGGCUUGGUGCUUGAAGACCCUUAGCAGGUCUCCGAUUGGCGGCUAGUAUAAUAACGACAAAUAAUGCCUAAAAACACGUUGUUGGUUUCAAUAAAUAAAGUUCA